This 441-nucleotide ribosomal RNA is filed under the name uncultured bacterium. RNAcentral's name for it is "partial 16S ribosomal RNA". It matches the Rfam family "Bacterial small subunit ribosomal RNA", at positions 338 to 795 of the family's 1533-position model. The record is from RNAcentral.
CCUACGGGAGGCAGCAGUGGGGAAUAUUGCACAAUGGGGGAAACCCUGCUGCAGCAACGCCGCGUGAAGGAAGACGGUUUUCGGAUUGUAAACUUCUGUUCUUAGUGAAGAAUAAUGACGGUAGCCAAGGAGCAAGCCACGGCUAACUACGUGCCAGCAGCCGCGGUAAUCCGUAGGUGGCAAGCGUUGUCCGGAAUUACUGGGUGUAAGGGGAGCGCAGGCGGGAAGCCAAGUCAGCUGUGAAAACUACGGGCUUAACUUGGAGACUGCAGGUGAAACUGGUUUUCUUGAGUGAAGUAGAGGUUGGCGGAAUUCCGAGUGUAGCGGUGAAAUGCGUAGAUAUUCGGAGGAACACCGGUGGCGAAGGCGGCCAACUGGGCUUUAACUGACGCUGAGGCUCGAAAGUGUGGGGAGCAAACAGGAUUAGAUACCCCUGUAGUC